Molecule: ribosomal RNA, 424 nt
Filed under: uncultured bacterium
Lineage: Bacteria
Description: bacterial SSU rRNA
Rfam family: Bacterial small subunit ribosomal RNA
Source: RNAcentral
UGAGGAAUAUUGGUCAAUGGACGCAAGUCUGAACCAGCCAUGCCGCGUGCAGGAAGACGGCUCUAUGAGUUGUAAACUGCUUUUGUACGAGGGUAAACGCAGAUACGUGUAUCUGUUUGAAAGUAUCGUACGAAUAAGGAUCGGCUAACUCCGUGCCAGCAGCCGCGGUAAUACGGAGGAUCCAAGCGUUAUCCGGAUUUAUUGGGUUUAAAGGGUGCGUAGGCGGUUUUAUAAGUUAGAGGUGAAAUCUCGGAGCUCAACUCCGAAAUUGCCUCUAAUACUGUAGGACUAGAGAGUAGUUGCGGUAGGCGGAAUGUAUGGUGUAGCGGUGAAAUGCUUAGAGAUCAUACAGAACACCGAUUGCGAAGGCAGCUUACCAAACUAUAUCUGACGUUGAGGCACGAAAGCGUGGGGAGCAAACAGG